AAAUUGAAGAGUUUGAUCAUGGCUCAGAUUGAACGCUGGCGGCAGGCCUAACACAUGCAAGUCGAACGGUAACAGGAAGAAGCUUGCUUCUUUGCUGACGAGUGGCGGACGGGUGAGUAAUGUCUGGGAAACUGCCUGAUGGAGGGGGAUAACUACUGGAAACGGUAGCUAAUACCGCAUAAUGUCGCAAGA
Molecule: ribosomal RNA, 192 nt
Filed under: Escherichia coli
Lineage: Bacteria; Pseudomonadati; Pseudomonadota; Gammaproteobacteria; Enterobacterales; Enterobacteriaceae
Description: partial 16S ribosomal RNA
Rfam family: Bacterial small subunit ribosomal RNA
Source: RNAcentral